AGAAUCAACGCUGGCGGCGUGCCUAACACAUGCAAGUCGCACGAGAAAGGGUAGCAAUACCUGAGUACAGUGGCGCACGGGUGAGUAACACGUGAAUAAUCUACCUCCGAGUGGGGAAUAACCUAGGGAAACCUGGGCUAAUACCGCAUAACACUUACGAGUCAAAGCAGCAAUGCGCUUGGAGAGGAGUUCGCGGCAGAUUAGCUAGUUGGUGGGGUAAUGGCCCACCAAGGCGAUGAUCUGUA
This 245-nucleotide ribosomal RNA is filed under the name uncultured bacterium. Its description in RNAcentral is "partial small subunit ribosomal RNA". It matches the Rfam family "Bacterial small subunit ribosomal RNA", at positions 26 to 285 of the family's 1533-position model. The record is from RNAcentral.